GGCUCAGGACGAACGCUGGCGGCGCGCUUACAACAUGCAAGUCGAGCGAGAACCAAGCCUUCGGGCUUGGGGACAGCGGCGAACGGGUGAGUAACACGUGGGUAAUCAACCCUCGACACUGGGAUAGCCCGGGGAAACCCGGAUUAAUACCGGAUACCCCAUCUGGCCUUCGGGCCGGCUGGAAAAGGUAGCUUCGGCCUCCGGUCGGGGACGAGCCCGCGGCGGAUUAGCUUGUUGGUGGGGUAACGGCCCACCAAGGCGACGAUCCGUAGCUGGUCUGAGAGGACGAUCAGCCACACUGGGACUGAGACACGGCCCAGACUCCUACGGGAGGCAGCAGUGGGGAAUCUUGCGCAAUGGGCGAAAGCCUGACGCAGCGACGCCGCGUGAGGGAAGAAGGCCUUCGGGUUGUAAACCUCUUUCAGGAGGGACGAAGCCACUCGGGUUAAUAGCCUAGAGGGUGACGGUACCUCCAGAAGAAGCCCCGGCUAACUACGUGCCAGCAGCCGCGGUAAUACGUAGGGGGCAAGCGUUGUCCGGAUUUAUUGGGCGUAAAGAGCGUGUAGGCGGCCAUACAGGUCAGCUGUGAAAACUCGAGGCUCAACCUCGAGACGUCGGUUGAAACCGUAUGGCUAGAGUCCGGAAGAGGAGAGUGGAAUUCCCGGUGUAGCGGUGAAAUGCGCAGAUAUCGGGAAGAACACCCAUGGCGAAGGCAGCUCUCUGGGACGGUACUGACGCUGAGACGCGAAAGCGUGGGGAGCGAACAGGAUUAGAUACCCUGGUAGUCCACGCCGUAAACGAUGGGAACUAGGUGUGGCGGGUGUCGACUCCCGCUGUGCCGAAGCUAACGCAUUAAGUUCCCCGCCUGGGGAGUACGGGCGCAAGGCUAAAACUCAAAU
Molecule: ribosomal RNA, 899 nt
Filed under: uncultured bacterium
Lineage: Bacteria
Description: bacterial SSU rRNA
Rfam family: Bacterial small subunit ribosomal RNA
Source: RNAcentral